RNAcentral lists this transfer RNA (71 nucleotides) under Rhodothermaceae bacterium TMED105. RNAcentral's name for it is "tRNA-Gly". It matches the Rfam family "tRNA". From Rfam's summary of the family: Transfer RNA (tRNA) molecules are approximately 80 nucleotides in length. Their secondary structure includes four short double-helical elements and three loops (D, anti-codon, and T loops). Lineage: Bacteria; Pseudomonadati; Rhodothermota; Rhodothermia; Rhodothermales; Rhodothermaceae. The record is from RNAcentral.
GCGUGUGUAGUGUAAGGGUAACAUGUCUUCCUUCCAAGAAUACGAUUCGGGUUCGAGUCCCGGCAGUAGUG